UAGCAUGGAAUAAUGAAAUAGGACGUUCGAUCUUAUUUUGUUGGUUUCUAGGAUUGACGUAAUGAUUAAUAGGGAUAGUUCGGGGCAUUAGUAUUCAAUUGUCAGAGGUGAAAUUCUUGGAUUUAUUGAAGACUAACUACUGCGAAAGCAUUUGCCAAGGAUGUUUUCAUUAAUCAAGAACGAAAGUUAGGGGAUCGAAGACGAUCA
Molecule: ribosomal RNA, 207 nt
Filed under: uncultured fungus
Lineage: Eukaryota; Fungi
Description: partial small subunit ribosomal RNA
Rfam family: Eukaryotic small subunit ribosomal RNA
Source: RNAcentral